GACGAACGCUGGCGGCGUGCUUAACACAUGCAAGUCGAACGGAAAGGCCCUGCUUUUGUGGGGUGCUCGAGUGGCGAACGGGUGAGUAACACGUGAGUAACCUGCCCUUGACUUUGGGAUAACUUCAGGAAACUGGGGCUAAUACCGGAUAGGAGCUCCUGCUGCAUGGUGGGGGUUGGAAAGUUUCGGCGGUUGGGGAUGGACUCGCGGCUUAUCAGCUUGUUGGUGGGGUAGUGGCUUACCAAGGCUUUGACGGGUAGCCGGCCUGAGAGGGUGACCGGACACAUUGGGACUGAGAUACGGCCCAGACUCCUACGGGAGGCAGCAGUGGGGAAUAUUGCACAGUGGGCGGAAGCCUGAUGCAGCAACGCCGCGUGCGGGAUGACGGCCUUCGGGUUGUAAACCGCUUUCGCCUGUGACGAAGCGUGAGUGACGGUAAUGGGUAAAGAAGCACCGGCUAACUACGUG
This 468-nucleotide ribosomal RNA is filed under the name uncultured bacterium. Its description in RNAcentral is "partial 16S ribosomal RNA". It matches the Rfam family "Bacterial small subunit ribosomal RNA", at positions 28 to 507 of the family's 1533-position model. The record is from RNAcentral.